RNAcentral lists this ribosomal RNA (904 nucleotides) under uncultured archaeon. RNAcentral describes it as "bacterial SSU rRNA". It matches the Rfam family "Archaeal small subunit ribosomal RNA", at positions 21 to 903 of the family's 1478-position model. The record is from RNAcentral.
CCCCACUGCUAUCGGGGUGGGACUAAGACAUGCUAGUCGAGCGCCUUGGGCUAUGGCGAGGCGCGGCGUACAGCUCAGUAACACGUGGCUAACCUACCCUUAGGACGGAGACAACCCCGGGAAACUGGGGCUAAUAUCUGAUAGGUGAGGAGGCCUGGAAUGGUUCUUCGCUGAAAAGGCGUUGAAACCAUGCUUUUCAGCGUCGCCUAAGGAUGGGGCCGCGUCCGAUCAGGUUGUUGGUGGGGUAACGGCUCACCAAGCCUAUAACCGGUACGGGCCGUGAGAGCGGGAGCCCGGAGAUGGGCACUGAGACAAGGGCCCAGGCCCUACGGGGCGCAGCAGUCGCGAAAACUCCGCAAUGCGCGAAAGCGUGACGGGGCUACCCCGAGUGCCGUCCGCUGAGGAUGGCUUUUCCCCGGUGUAAUGAGCCGGGGGAAUAAGGAGAGGGCAAGUCUGGUGUCAGCCGCCGCGGUAAUACCAGCUCUCCGAGUGGUAGGGACGAUUAUUGGGCUUAAAGCGUCCGUAGCCGGCUUAGCAAGUCUUCUGUUAAAUUCAGCGACCUAAUCGUUGAGCCGCGGGAGAUACUACUAGGCUAGGAGGCGGGAGAGGCCGACGGUAUUCUCGGGGUAGGGGUGAAAUCCUAUAAUCCCGGGAGGACCACCAGUGGCGAAGGCUGUCGGCUAGAACGCGCUCGACGGUGAGGGACGAAAGCUGGGGGAGCGAACCGGAUUAGAUACCCGGGUAGUCCCAGCUGUAAACGAUGCGGGCUAGGUGUUGGGGUGGCUACGAGCCACUUCAGUGCCGCAGGGAAGCCAUUAAGCCCGCCGCCUGGGGAGUACGGCCGCAAGGCUGAAACUUAAAGGAAUUGGCGGGGGAGCACCACAAGGCGUGAAGCUUGCGGUUC